GGUUUUUAAUUAUAGAGAAUAAAAUCCUUAUAAUAAAACUAAAAGGACGCGGUAACCUUGACCGUGAUAAUGUAGCAUAAUCACUCGCCAUUUAACUGAUGGAUAGUAUGAAUGGUUGAACGAAUAUUUCACUGUCUUAAAAAAACCCAAAUAAAAUUAAAAUAAUAGUUAAGAUGCUAUUUUAAACUGUAAGACGAAAAGACCCUAUAGAGCUUAACUAUAAUCUUUUUUUUUCACCUUAAAAAUAAUAUUUUUAUAAUAAAAAAGAUUGGUAGUUUAGUUGGGGCGACUACCUUCUAUAAAAAACGAAGGUAAGCAAAGUUAAUAAAAAACUUAUUAUAUAAAUAAAACAUUUAAUAAUUACAAAAGUAGGCUAUAAUGACCCGUUAAUAUUAUAUAAAAAAUUUAACGAUUAAUUAAUAAAAGCUACCUUAGGGAUAACAGGAUAAUUUCAUUUUAGAGUUCCUAUCGAAAAUGAAGUUUAUCACCUCUAUGUUGAAUUAA
RNAcentral lists this ribosomal RNA (504 nucleotides) under Rhizocaulus verticillatus. Its description in RNAcentral is "partial 16S ribosomal RNA". It matches the Rfam family "Bacterial large subunit ribosomal RNA", at positions 1884 to 2540 of the family's 2925-position model. The record is from RNAcentral. Lineage: Eukaryota; Metazoa; Cnidaria; Hydrozoa; Leptothecata; Campanulariidae.